GUAUUGAUUUAUUUUGACCAUAAGGUCUAAUAUAACGACAUUCUGUUAAACUUGUUUGAAGGGUGUAUAAAAACAUAGACACAGACUAAAGUCCGGCCUACAAUGAGUUCACAGGUGAAUUGAAAAGGCGGAGUGCACAUGCCCCGAAAGGCCAGCAACAUCCUAAGGAUUUCAAUAAUGAUCCUUCCGCAGGUUCACCUACGGAAA
This 207-nucleotide unclassified non-coding RNA is filed under the name uncultured fungus. RNAcentral's name for it is "sequence contains ITS1". The record is from RNAcentral. Lineage: Eukaryota; Fungi.